CCUCCGCCGGUUUACAAGUACAAAUCGCCGCCACCUCCUCCGCCUUACUACUACAAAUCUCCGCCUCCGCCUCCUCCCUACAAGUAUGAAUCGCCGCCUCCGCCUCCCUACAAGUACGAGUCGCCGCCUCCACCACCGUACUACUACAAAUCACCUCCGCCGCCCCCAUACAAGUAUGAAUCGCCGCCGCCACCACCAUACAAGUAUGAAUCGCCGCCGCCACCACCAUACAAGUAUGAAUCGCCUCCUCCACCACCAUAUAAGUACGAAUCGCCACCGCCACCACCAUACAAGUACGAGUCGCCUCCUCCACCUCCGUACAAGUAUGAAUCGCCUCCUCCCCCACCAUACUACUACAAAUCACCACCACCACCUCCUUACAAGUAUGAAUCUCCCCCUCCACCUCCAUAUUACUACAAAUCUCCACCCCCGCCACCACCUUACUACUACAAAUCACCACCACCACCUUCUCCUGUCUACAAAUAUAAAUCUCCACCACCACCACCUUACAAGUACGAAUCUCCUCCUCCACCUCCAUACUAUUACAAGUCUCCACCACCACCGCCGUAUUACUACAAGUCUCCACCACCACCACCUCCAGUUUACAAAUACAAAUCUCCUCCUCCGCCACCAUAUUACUACAAAUCACCACCUCCUCCAUCACCAGUAUAUUACUACAAAUCUCCUCCUCCACCAGCGUAUUACUACAAAUCUCCCCCACCGCCUGUCUACUAUUACAAAUCCCCGCCACCUCCAGCUUACCACUACCAAUCGCCACCCCCACCAAGUUACAAGCUGGUAGUGGUCACGGGCAAGGUCUAUUGCAACAGAUGCUGGAACACCACAAGCAGAUACCUUCAGGCAUCACCACAUGGGUCUGCUAGGUACAUUCUCAAUUGCAUUGUAUUCGAUAUUGUUCUCCUCACUCAUUUCCUCUUGAUACUGUGUGCAAUAAUGCAGGUGGCAAAGUGAAGAUCACAUGUGGCGAAUCUUACUACUACGGCUACACCAACAAGCAUGGAAUCUUUAGAAUUGAGCUCCCGCACCAAUCCUGGGAAGAAGCAAGCAGCUGCAAGGCCAAGAUUAUCAAGAGCAGCUACAUCAAGUCGUCAUGCAAUGUCAUCACGGACUACAGGUCUGGUGCAACAGGGGCCAAGCUCAAGUUCAAAUCGAAAACAGAGAAGGAGCUCGUCUUGACAGCCGGUCCUUUCAUCUAUGCAACUCCAGAGCCAUCGUCAGUCUGCUUCUACACAUCACCUCCCUAUGAGUACAAGUCACCUCCGCCACCAACACCGGUCUACCAUUACGCCUCUCCGCCACCUCCGGUCUACUACUACAAAUCGCCACCUCCUCCUUCACCGGUUUACUACUACAAAUCCCCUCCUCCUCCUUCGCCGGUCUACUAUUACAAAUCCCCGCCUCCACCACCAUACUAUUACAAGUCCCCACCUCCACCUCCGCCUAAGUAUUACUACAAGUCGCCCCCACCACCGUCUCCAUACUAUUACAAAUCCCCGCCCCCUCCACCGUACUAUUACAAAUCCCCACCACCACCUCCCUACAAAUACGAAUCGCCGCCGCCUCCUCCUUACAAAUACGAGUCCCCACCUCCACCACCUUACUAUUACAAGUCCCCACCACCACCUCCAUACAAAUAUGAAUCCCCGCCACCUCCAGUCUACAAAUAUGAGUCUCCGCCACCCCCAGUUUACAAAUACAAGUCGCCACCACCACCAUACAAGUACGAGUCACCACCACCACCUCCAUACAAGUAUGAAUCCCCGCCACCUCCACCUUAUUACUACAAGUCCCCUCCACCACCACCAUACAAGUACGAGUCGCCACCACCUCCUCCGUACAAGUAUGAAUCUCCACCACCACCAGUUUACAAAUACAAGUCACCUCCGCCGCCACCUUAUUACUACAAAUCCCCACCGCCACCUCCAUACAAGUACGAGUCUCCACCUCCUCCUCCGUACAAGUAUGAAUCUCCACCACCACCACCUUAUUACUACAAAUCCCCCCCGCCACCUCCAUACAAGUACGAGUCACCGCCUCCUCCUCCGUACAAGUAUGAAUCUCCACCACCGCCAGUUUACAAAUACAAGUCACCCCCGCCACCACCUUAUUACUACAAAUCCCCGCCACCACCUCCAUACAAGUACGAGUCUCCACCUCCUCCUCCGUACAAGUAUGAAUCUCCACCACCACCUCCUUAUUACUACAAAUCCCCGCCGCCACCUCCCUACAAGUAUGAAUCCCCGCCACCACCUCCCUACAAAUACGAGUCACCUCCACCACCACCUUACUAUUACAAAUCUCCUCCACCGCCUCCAUACAAGUAUGAGUCGCCACCACCACCAGUCUACAAAUACGAGUCUCCGCCACCCCCAGUUUACAAAUACAAGUCGCCCCCUCCACCUUAUUACUACAAGUCUCCGCCACCCCCGCCAUACAAAUAUGAAUCCCCACCUCCACCUCCCUACAAGUAUGAAUCGCCUCCUCCUCCACCUUACUACUACAAGUCCCCUCCACCACCUCCCUACAAAUAUGAAUCCCCGCCACCACCUCCCUAUAAAUACGAGUCACCACCACCACCACCUUACUAUUACAAAUCUCCUCCACCGCCUCCAUACAAGUAUGAGUCGCCACCACCACCUCCCUACAAAUACGAGUCACCACCACCACCACCUUACAAGUAUGAAUCCCCACCUCCACCUCCGUACAAGUAUGAAUCACCUCCACCGCCUCCAUACAAGUAUGAAUCCCCUCCUCCACCUCCCUACAAAUACGAGUCACCACCCCCACCACCUUAUUACUACAAAUCGCCUCCGCCACCGGAGUAUCAAUCAC
This 2853-nucleotide long non-coding RNA is filed under the name Selaginella moellendorffii. RNAcentral's name for it is "long non-coding RNA (SMOE_LNC002368)". The record is from RNAcentral. Lineage: Eukaryota; Viridiplantae; Streptophyta; Lycopodiopsida; Selaginellales; Selaginellaceae.